CCUACGGGAGGCAGCAGUGGGGAAUAUUGCACAAUGGGGGAAACCCUGAUGCAGCGACGCCGCGUGAAGGAAGAAGUACCUCGGUAUGUAAACCUCUAUCAGCAGGGAAGAAAAUGACGGUACCUGACGAAGAAGCCCCGGCUAACUACGUGCCAGCAGCCAUGGUUAUAUGUAGGGGGCAAGCGUUAUCCGGAUUUACUGGGUGUUAAGGGAGCGUAGGCGGUUUAGCAAGUCAGAAGUGAAAGCCCGGGGUCCAACUCCGGGACUGCUUUUGAAACUGUUGAACUAGAUUGCAGGAGAGGUAGGUGGAAUUCCUGGUGUAGCGGUGAAAUGCGUAGAUAUUAGGAGGAACACCAGUGGCGAAGGCGGCUUGCUGGACUGUAAAUGACGCUGAGGCUCGAAAGCGUGGGGAGCAAACAGGAUUAGAUACCCGUGUAGUC
This 440-nucleotide ribosomal RNA is filed under the name uncultured bacterium. RNAcentral's name for it is "partial 16S ribosomal RNA". It matches the Rfam family "Bacterial small subunit ribosomal RNA", at positions 338 to 795 of the family's 1533-position model. The record is from RNAcentral.